Molecule: long non-coding RNA, 322 nt
Filed under: Equus caballus (horse)
Lineage: Eukaryota; Metazoa; Chordata; Mammalia; Perissodactyla; Equidae
Description: lncRNA (ENSECAG00000046625.1)
Source: RNAcentral
AUUUCAUGCCCGUAUUCAACAAGCUUGGUGAGCUUCAAAUUUAUCUCGUCCAUAUACUCUGUGAUAUCAGUGAGAAAACAUCAAUCACACUGCCAUGUUUCAUCUUUGAUUAUUAAAUAUUUGGUAGGAAUUCCUUUCGUUUCAAGAAAAUCUUUGAAUUGGAAUUGACAGUACAGUAAAUCUUUGUUAAACUCGUCUAUGACUCAACCAGUGAAGAUGGAUAAAGACACAAGAUCAUCACACUCACUGCUUCCUACUCCUUUCCAUAAACUGGUGAUUCACGGCAUUUGAACGUACAUGCUGAACAACUGUAACAAAUAUA